AGAUUAAGUUAUUAAGGGCGCACGGUGGAUGCCUUGGCACUAGAAGCCGAUGAAGGACGUUACUAACGACGAUAUGCUUUGGGGAGCUGUAAGUAAGCUUUGAUCCAGAGAUUUCCGAAUGGGGAAACCCAGCAUGAGUUAUGUCAUGUUAUCGAUAUGUGAAUACAUAGCAUAUCAGAAGGCACACCUGGAGAACUGAAACAUCUUAGUACCCGGAGGAAGAGAAAGAAAAUUCGAUUCCCUUAGUAGCGGCGAGCGAAACGGGAAGAGCCCAAACCAACAAGCUUGCUUGUUGGGGUUGUAGGACACUCUAUACGGAGUUACAAAGGACGACAUUAGACGAAUCAUCUGGAAAGAUGAAUCAAAGAAGGUAAUAAUCCUGUAGUCGAAAAUGUUGUCUCUCUUGAGUGGAUCCUGAGUACGACGG
RNAcentral lists this ribosomal RNA (427 nucleotides) under Staphylococcus aureus. RNAcentral describes it as "partial 23S ribosomal RNA". It matches the Rfam family "Bacterial large subunit ribosomal RNA", at positions 1 to 420 of the family's 2925-position model. Lineage: Bacteria; Bacillati; Bacillota; Bacilli; Caryophanales; Staphylococcaceae. The record is from RNAcentral.